CCCUUAGAUGUUCUGGGCAGCACGCGCGCUACAAUGGUCUUCGCAAACGGAUGCAUUCUCGAAGGAGAAUGCCAAUCUUGGAAUCUAUGCCUUGGUCGGGACAGUUGCUUGCAAUUUUUCGACUCGAACCAGGAAUUCCUUGUAAUCGUGAUUCAUCACAUCACGAUGAAUACGUCCCUGCCCUUUGUACACACCGCCCGUCGCUCCUACCGAUCGAAGAGUUAGGUGAAUUGUUUUGAUCGAUAACAUUUGACUAUGGUCAACUCUCGUUGUGAAAUUCUGUGAAUCUGACUGUUUAGAGGAAGGAAAAGUCGUAACA
Molecule: ribosomal RNA, 319 nt
Filed under: uncultured eukaryote
Lineage: Eukaryota
Description: partial 18S ribosomal RNA
Rfam family: Eukaryotic small subunit ribosomal RNA
Source: RNAcentral